UUGCUCACUUGGGCAGCACAUAUACUAAAAGUGGAACGAUACAGGGAAGAUUAGCAUGGCCCCUGCACAAGGAUGACACGCAAAUUUGUGAAGUGUUCCAUUCUUUU
Molecule: small nuclear RNA, 107 nt
Organism: Vicugna pacos (alpaca)
Lineage: Eukaryota; Metazoa; Chordata; Mammalia; Artiodactyla; Camelidae
Source: Ensembl